AACGAACGCUGGCGGCAUGCCUAACACAUGCAAGUCGAACGAAGCCUUCGGGCUUAGUGGCGCACGGGUGCGUAACACGUGGGAAUCUGCCCUUCGGUUCGGAAUAACAGUUAGAAAUGACUGCUAAUACCGGAUGAUGACGAAAGUCCAAAGAUUUAUCGCCGAAGGAUGAGCCCGCGUAGGAUUAGGUAGUUGGUAGGGUAAUGGCCUACCAAGCCGACGAUCCUUAGCUGGUCUGAGAGGAUGAUCAGCCACACUGGGACUGAGACACGGCCCAGACUCCUACGGGAGGCAGCAGUGGGGGAAUAUUGGACAAUGGGCGAAAGCCUGAUCCAGCAAUGCCGCGUGAGUGAUGAAGGCCUUAGGGUUGUAAAGCUCUUUUACCAGGGAUGAUAAUGACAGUACCUGGAGAAUAAGCUCCGGCUAACUCCGUG
Molecule: ribosomal RNA, 434 nt
Filed under: uncultured bacterium
Lineage: Bacteria
Description: bacterial SSU rRNA
Rfam family: Bacterial small subunit ribosomal RNA
Source: RNAcentral